This 400-nucleotide ribosomal RNA is filed under the name Heyndrickxia oleronia. RNAcentral's name for it is "bacterial SSU rRNA". It matches the Rfam family "Bacterial small subunit ribosomal RNA", at positions 39 to 423 of the family's 1533-position model. The record is from RNAcentral. Lineage: Bacteria; Bacillati; Bacillota; Bacilli; Caryophanales; Bacillaceae.
GGCAAUGCGGCGUGCCUAUACUGUCAGUCGAGCGAAUCUGAUGGGAGCUUGCUCCCUGAUGAUUAGCGGCGGACGGGUGAGUAACACGUGGGUAACCUGCCUGUAAGACUGGGAUAACUCCGGGAAACCGGGGCUAAUACCGGAUAACUUUUUUCUUCGCAUGAAGGAGAAUUGAAAGAUGGCUCCGGCUAUCACUUACAGAUGGACCCGCGGCGCAUUAGCUAGUUGGUGAGGUAACGGCUCACCAAGGCGACGAUGCGUAGCCGACUUGAGAGGGUGAUCGGCCACACUGGGACUGAGACACGGCCCAGACUCCUACGGGAGGCAGCAGUAGGGAAUCUUCCGCAAUGGACGAAAGUCUGACGGAGCAACGCCGCGUGAGUGAUGAAGGUUUUCGGAU